Molecule: ribosomal RNA, 243 nt
Filed under: uncultured bacterium
Lineage: Bacteria
Description: partial 16S ribosomal RNA
Rfam family: Bacterial small subunit ribosomal RNA
Source: RNAcentral
AGGGUGCAAGCGUUAAUCGGAAUUACUGGGCGUAAAGCGCACGUAGGCGGUUCAGUUAGCCAGCCGUUAAAUCCCCGGGCUCAACCUGGGAAUUGCGGUUGGAACUACUGGGCUGGAGUACAGUAGAGGGGUGUGGAAUUUCGGGUGUAGCGGUGAAAUGCGUAGAUAUCUGAAGGAACAUCAGUGGCGAAGGCGACACCCUGGACUGAUACUGACGCUGAGGUGCGAAAGCGUGGGGAGCAA